CGCGGUGUAGCCCCGUUUCGGACACUCUCUGCAGCCGGUCACAAGCCCCAAAGGGAAGCGGUGGCGUCCGCCAAAUAGGAGGAGAGAGAGAUCCGCCAUCCGUGC
Molecule: non-coding RNA, 105 nt
Organism: Charadrius vociferus (killdeer)
Lineage: Eukaryota; Metazoa; Chordata; Aves; Charadriiformes; Charadriidae
Source: Rfam